This 474-nucleotide small RNA is filed under the name Pan troglodytes (chimpanzee). RNAcentral describes it as "retained intron". The record is from RNAcentral. Lineage: Eukaryota; Metazoa; Chordata; Mammalia; Primates; Hominidae.
UCCUUUCCUGCCCUGGGGCCCCUGGCUCCUCAGCAGAGGGUGGUGACCAGGUCAUCAAGGACUUUUGUCUUUCACCUAAAGGAAGUAGGGAGCCAGAGGGCCCCGGGCAAUGGGGAUGGCUCAUCUUGCUCCUCUCCCUCUGGCCACUCCCCUCAUCCCCAUCCAAGCCCUCAGCAGCAGCCAGUCUUCCCAGCCCAGGUGGAAGCUCUGUCACUGUGGGAUGACACCCCCGCCCUGACCUUGGCACCAGGUUCUUGAAGGAUGCCAUGUGGAAAAAGGACAAGAAGGACUUUGCCCGUGAGAUGACGAAAAUGAAGAUGUUCAAGAGCCAGCUGACCCUCAUGGAGCACAACUACCUGAUUGAGUAUCAAGGUCAAGGAUGCAGUGUGCACUUCCCAUUUGCCUUUUCCCCCAUCACACCAGAGACUCUCCUAUGGCAGGACAUGUCUCUACUAUCAGACUGUGGAUUCCUUU